Molecule: small nuclear RNA, 164 nt
Filed under: Macaca mulatta (Rhesus monkey)
Lineage: Eukaryota; Metazoa; Chordata; Mammalia; Primates; Cercopithecidae
Description: U4 spliceosomal RNA (ENSMMUG00000064289.1)
Rfam family: U4 spliceosomal RNA (bases 1-124)
About the family: U4 small nuclear RNA (U4 snRNA) is a component of the major U2-dependent spliceosome. The structure of U4 snRNA from yeast and human has been reported. U4 snRNA presents a k-turn RNA motif in the 5p-SL related to recognition of Snu13 protein.
Source: RNAcentral
AGCUUUGCACAGUGGCAGUAUCAUAGCCAAUGAGGUUUAUCCGAGGUGCGAUUAUUGCUAAUUGAAAACAAAACAUAAGCCGUGCGUGAUGACUGGCACCUGUCCCAGCUACUCAGGAAGCUGAGGCACUAGAAUCACUUGAACCUGGGAGGUGGAGGUUGCAG